UACGUAGGGUGCAAGCAUUAAUCGGAUUUAUUGGGCGUAAAGGGCGCGUAGGCGGGCGGCCGCGUCCGGGGUGAAAUCCCGCCGCUCAACGGCGGAACGGCCUCGGAUACGGGCGGCCUCGAGGGGGGUAGGGGCGUGCGGAACUCUGGGUGGAGCGGUGAAAUGCGUUGAUAUCCAGAGGAACUCCGGUGGCGAAGGCGGCACGCUGGACCCCUUCUGACGCUGAGGCGCGAAAGCCAGGGGAGCGAACGGG
RNAcentral lists this ribosomal RNA (253 nucleotides) under uncultured bacterium. RNAcentral describes it as "partial 16S ribosomal RNA". It matches the Rfam family "Bacterial small subunit ribosomal RNA", at positions 524 to 776 of the family's 1533-position model. The record is from RNAcentral.